UCUUACCUAUGGGAGGCAGCAGUAGGGAAUCUUCCACAAUGGACGAAAGUCUGAUGGAGCAACGCCGCGUGAGUGAAGAAGGGUUUCGGCUCGUAAAACCCUGUUGUUAGAGAAGAAAGUGCGUGAGAGUAACUGUUCACGUUUCGACGGUAUCUAACCAGAAAGCCACGGCUAACUACGUGCCAGCAGCCGCGGUAAUACGUAGGUGGCAAGCGUUAUCCGGAUUUAUUGGGCGUAAAGGGAACGCAGGCGGUCUUUUAAGUCUGAUGUGGAAGCCUUCGGCUUAACCGGAGUAGUGCAUUGGA
Molecule: ribosomal RNA, 305 nt
Filed under: uncultured bacterium
Lineage: Bacteria
Description: bacterial SSU rRNA
Rfam family: Bacterial small subunit ribosomal RNA
Source: RNAcentral